RNAcentral lists this ribosomal RNA (497 nucleotides) under uncultured bacterium. Its description in RNAcentral is "partial 16S ribosomal RNA". It matches the Rfam family "Bacterial small subunit ribosomal RNA", at positions 28 to 507 of the family's 1533-position model. The record is from RNAcentral.
GAUGAACGCUGGCGGCGUGCCUAAUACAUGCAAGUCGAGCGAACAGACCAUGCUCUUGCUCCUCGCACGUUAGCCGCGGGCGUGUGAGUAACAUGUGGAUAACCCACCUAUAAGACUGGUAUAUUUUCGGGAAACCGGCUCUUACACCGUAUAAGCUCUUGAUCCGUGGUGUUGGUUAGUUAAAGACGGUUUUUCUGUCAUUACUAGCUGCAUCUGUGCUGCUUUAGCUAGUUGGUAAGUUAAAGGCUUACCAAGGCAAGGCUGCGUGGGCGACGUGAGAGGGUGAUCGGCGACACUGGAAGUGAGACACGGUCCAGACGACUACGGGAGGCCGCAGUAGGGAAUGUGACGCAAUGGGCGGAAGCAUGACGGAGCAACGCGACGUGAGUGAUGAAGGUCUUCGGAUCGGAAAACUGUGUUAUGAGGGAAAAACAAAUGUGGAAGUAACUAUGCACGUAGUGACGGUACCUAAUCAGAAAGCAACGGCUAACUACGUG